This 207-nucleotide long non-coding RNA is filed under the name Lathyrus oleraceus (garden pea). RNAcentral describes it as "Pisum sativum (pea) long non-coding RNA (PSAT_LNC017359)". The record is from RNAcentral. Lineage: Eukaryota; Viridiplantae; Streptophyta; Magnoliopsida; Fabales; Fabaceae.
GUCAAUGUUGGGAAACAAGACCAACCAUAGAUGAUUAAGGCAAGAAUAGCUUCGAAAGCCACCAUGCUAUCGACAUUAGAAAAAUUAAAGGCUUUCUCAAUCAUAAAUUUUGAAGUCAAACCUCUGAUACCUCCUUUGAUAGUGAGCAUUAGCAUCUAUGUCAAAUUUCCUUAGGUGAAUAGCUCCAGCAAUAACUUGAGACUUCCA